This 241-nucleotide ribosomal RNA is filed under the name uncultured Staphylococcus sp. Its description in RNAcentral is "partial 16S ribosomal RNA". It matches the Rfam family "Bacterial small subunit ribosomal RNA", at positions 99 to 334 of the family's 1533-position model. Lineage: Bacteria; Bacillati; Bacillota; Bacilli; Caryophanales; Staphylococcaceae. The record is from RNAcentral.
CGGACGGGUGAGUAACACGUGGAUAACCUACCUAUAAGACUGGGAUAACUUCGGGAAACCGGAGCUAAUACCGGAUAAUAUAUUGAACCGCAUGGUUCAAUAGUGAAAGACGGUUUUGCUGUCACUUAUAGAUGGAUCCGCGCCGCAUUAGCUAGUUGGUAAGGUAACGGCUUACCAAGGCAACGAUGCGUAGCCGACCUGAGAGGGUGAUCGGCCACACUUGAACUGAGACACGGUCCAG